Molecule: ribosomal RNA, 252 nt
Filed under: uncultured bacterium
Lineage: Bacteria
Description: partial 16S ribosomal RNA
Rfam family: Bacterial small subunit ribosomal RNA
Source: RNAcentral
UACGGAGGAUGCGAGCGUUAUCCGGAUUUAUUGGGUUUAAAGGGUGCGUAGGCGGACUGUCAAGUCAGCGGUAAAAUUGAGAGGCUCAACCUCUUCCCGCCGUUGAAACUGGUGGUCUUGAGUGGAUGAGAAGUACGCGGAAUGCGUGGUGUAGCGGUGAAAUGCAUAGAUAUCACGCAGAACUCCGAUUGCGAGGGCGGCGUACCGGCAUCCAACUGACGCUGAGGCACGAAAGCGUGGGGAUCAAACAGG